CAUAAUUAUGAUUUUUUUUUUUAGGUUAUCUGGGAUAAUUCAUUUUCCACUUAUCUUGGUUAAUUAACAGUAUACUGUAAUUUGCAGAUAAUUUUUAUUUUAAAAUAUAAAAUAAAAACAUGAAAUAUAAUUGAGAAAUGGCCAUGUUAGCAAAGCACCAUAAAGUGAGGUAUGCUGUAACAGUAUAAAUACAGUAGACUGAACUCACCAGUUCAGUUUAGUUCCAGCUACCUAAGUGGAUACAUAUUUAUAUUUUUCUGAAAUGACAUCAAGAUACUGUAAGCAUCCAGCAGACAGAUUUUGUUAUGUCUGUGCCCAAUUUAACAAGAUAAGUGAAAAAUUUUCAUGGAAACAUCUGCUAAAAUGUGUGAGACUACAAGGCAUAUUUCAACUUGUCUGUUGGGGAUCAAGGCAAACCCUGAAAAUUUCCACAAAAGCAAAGCUUGUUGAGAGUAAUAGCCAUUUAUAUUUUUUAGAUAUAAGCAAUCAGGAAAUAAUCACUUACAAAACCCAGGAACAAAAAUGCUAUUACAUAGUAUAAUAAUAUCUAUUUAAUCCAAAUUAUAUAACACUUCAAGAAAUAUAGUAGGUCAGGAAUAGCUUG
This 604-nucleotide long non-coding RNA is filed under the name Androctonus crassicauda. Lineage: Eukaryota; Metazoa; Arthropoda; Arachnida; Scorpiones; Buthidae. The record is from RNAcentral.